This is a non-coding RNA of Podarcis lilfordi (Lilford's wall lizard), 17354 nucleotides long. NCBI's taxonomy places the organism in Eukaryota, Metazoa, Chordata, Lepidosauria, Squamata, Lacertidae. The record is from the annotation of a GenBank genome assembly.
CUAACAGACAGGAGUGCAGCACAGUUGGGGCUUGAUGCUAACUGCUCCGACUGGUGAAACCUUUCUCCCAGCACCUAGACUCAAAUGAACAACAUUUAUAAUGGUAAGUUCUUUGCAAAAUAGAAGGCAAAUAUUGUGUUAUGGGGAAAGCAUCAACUAAUAGCUCUUUGGAGAAUCAAAAGAAUAGCAGAGAAUUCAAAAGAAAAUAAAACCUCUUAUGCACUUUCUAAAUAUUAAGAGUUUUGUUUCUGUAGGGAAAAUCAUGUCUACCCUAUCCAUCCGCUUUCUGAAUUGUGGGUUCCACAGCUAUAGCAUUUAUUUAAAAAGUAUGCUUGUUAAGGAAAUACGUAUUCCCCAGAAAAUAUUUGUCCCCUCCCCCCAAAAAUUGUUUGUUGAAUGCUAAAUAUGAUGCUUUAAGUAGUCGCCAUACACAAAAGCAUUUUUUUAGACUGCAAUCCUAUACACAUUUUCCUGGGGUUUACUUCUGAGUAAACAUAGAUAGGAUUGUGCUGGUGAUAGCCGUGUGUGUGUGUGUGUGUGUGUGUGAGAGAGAGAGAGAGAGAGAGAGAGAGAAAGAGAGAGAAUCCAAAAUUGGUUAUAUCAACUUUGAUUUCUGUUUUGUUUUGGAAAUUUACCGGAAUGUACACCAGAGCUAUUUAAUUUUCCUUUUAGAUGAACACAGAGAUGAAUGUUUGACGGAAUUCCCAUCUUUUUACACUAGUACUGCUCUGUCAGUCUUCACCAGCCAUGUGACACCACAUAAUGUAACAGGUGACACAUUCCCCAUCACCUUAUUUCUGUGCCAGGAAAAGUUUCUCCUGCUUAAUUGUUUCAAUUCAUCCGGCUGCCAGUUCAGAAGCAGGGUCAGGAAAAAGCUAGCAGUUUUGGUCUGGGAGUUUCUUCAGCAAUCGUAACACUGAACUUGCGGAAGGGCAAUCCUAGCCAAAUCAUCUCAAAAUAUGUCCCUUCAAUUUGUUGAGAUGGUAAAGCAUUUAUAACUCAGCUCAACAGAGCACAGUGCAAUGACACUGUAAACUUACAGUUGCGAAGGGUCUGUCUUUCUUCAGUUUGCAAGAAUACAAUGCCCCUUAUUUUCCAAAAAUUACCUGGCUGGAGUAAAUUACAGUAGCAAUAAUUUAACAACUGUGGGAGAGACCAUAAAACUUUCUGCCCCUUAUUAACUACUGUGUGACUAUUAGGUUUAUGGAGGAUGUUAACAUUGCACAAUAGGAGGAGAGAGGGGGAAAACCCCAUUGUAAACAGGCCUCCAAACUGCUGGAAAGCAAUUUUCCCCAUGAGAGGUAAAGGGGGCCUUGCCAACUUCUCUGAGGUAUGUGAGGGGUCAUGCGCCAAUCAUCUAAAGCAAGUCAAUUCCCUGCUGCUAAGUAAAUAAACUUAAUUGCAAAUUUGUGGCGUACUGAGACGUUUUAAAGUAAGCACGCCAUCGAGAACGCCGAAAUCUCCAUUCUAAGUUCAUGGAGAAAGAAAACGGCCUCUUUAAAAAUCAGCUUGCUGCUCACGGCUCCCCUGAACAGUGCCUCCAGGCAAGUGGUUAAAAAUACGAUUUUUAUAAACAAACCUGACAUUGCAAACUUAAUGCAAAACCCUGUGCAUAUAUCAUAACUUACGCGUUCGCAACUUGUUUAAAUUAGAGCCAGAAAGAGGGUGUGUGUGUGUGUGUGUGUAGGGAGGGAGCAAGCAAGCAAGAAGGAAACAAAAUUGGCAGAUUAACUCUUUCUUAAACAAUGCUCACAAGGUGGUAGCGUAUUUUGCAGCUUCAGAUGUGGCUCCACUAGCUGUGCUCUGGUUAUUGGUCUCCUAUGUUUCUACACUUAAGGAUGUCCCAGCGCUUUUUGUUCACAGCUCCUCUAUACAGUGUUCAGCUCAACUCUGAGAAAAGGGGUAUGCGCGUGUCUUUCCCCCCUUUCACCCCACUUCCAUUUACCAAAGCCUAUUACUGUCAUAUUGGCACAGUCACAGGAAUCUAAGGUUAUGUUCACAUGAGUCUUGGAAUGCUGUGGGACCAUUCUACAUCUGUUGCACUUUCAAAUUGCUUUCUUCCGUUUCUGUUCACAACUGAGUCAGGGCAGGGCUGCCUUCACCUGCUGAUUUGCUGCCCCAUGCCAAACUCAGUGAAGUGGUUGUCGGCGCAUGUGCCAUCACCUGCACAUACGCAAAAGCCUCCUAAACUGUUCACACCACAGUGUAACCACACCUUCCAUUUUCUGGAAGCUGGUUUGAGGUUAGGCGCAUCAGUGGGGAGCAUUUCUCAAGCCACAGAUGGAUUGUGGCUAAUAUAGUGUGAAGCCAGCUUCAAACUCCAGUGGACGGAGUGCACUGGAAAUGCAGCGAAUACUGAUGUAAAUGCAACCAGAGUGGGAAGGUACAGGAUUAUUAUUUUUUUGUUCUUGUCUUCCUGCAUGUGCCUGUUCAAAGGAACCCAUGCUGUUCAGCUGAAGUGUUCUUGGCUAGAGUUAAGUAGAAUAAAUUUCUUUUUAAAAGCCACCAAACAAAGCAUAAUUUAACUGAAUAAAAACAGCCUAUUGUGUAAACUCAGAAAUGUUUCCAGAUCUGUUUUAUAGAAGCAAAAUCCAGAAGUUCUGUUAGUCAAUCUGCAUAUGAGCAAAGCUGGGCUUGAGCAUCAGGCCUUUAGGGGUUCUGUGUAGUAUUUAGAUUUGAUUCGUCUCACCAUACCAGCAGAGGGACACCGUGACGUGAUUCACAAAUAUUAAACCAUAGUUUAAAGCAAACUGUUGCUGUUGUUUAAUGUGAAAAAGCAGCAUACUGGAUCCUACUGUUCAAAAGUUCCCACAGUGUUCCCCGCUUCCCUUGCUGUGCCUUGUUCAGACCUGGGUUCAUGGUUCAUUUGCUCCAAACAAACCAUGAGUGGUAACAGAUAUUUGUUUGUGGAUUACUACUUGUGCAUACCCUCCAACAUUUCUCUGAUGAAAAUAGGGCUGUCCCAUUCCAUAAUGAUAAUUUUACUAUUUAUACCUCACACAUCUUACUGGGUAGCCCAACCAUUCUGGGCAGCUUCCAACAUAUAUAAAAACAUAAUAAAACGUUAAACAUUAAAAAACUUCCCUAUAUAGGAAUGCCUUCAGAUGGUUCAGGGGUCAGAUAACUCCAUAAAGGUAAAGGUAAAGGGACCCCUGACCAUUAGGUCCAGUCGUGGCCGACUCUGGGGUUGCGGUGCUCAUCUUGCUUUAUUGGCCGAGGGAACCGGCGUAGAGCUUCUGGGUCCUGUGGCCAGCAUGACUAAGCCGCUUCUGGUGAACCAGAGCAGCACAUGGAAACGCCGUUUACCUUCCCACCGGAGUGGUACCUAUUUAUCUACUUGCACUUUGAAGUGCUUUGAAACUGCUAGGUUGGCAGGAGCUGGGACAGAGCAACAGGAGCUCAUCCCAUAUGGGGGAUUCGAACCACCGACCUUCUGAUCGGCAAGUCCUAGGCUCUGUGGUUUAACCCACAGCGCCACCCGCGUCCCUAGAUAACUCCACACCUUCCAACAAUUCUCCAAUGAAACUAGGGACACCCUAAGGAAAAGUGGGACAUUCCGGGAUCAAAUCAGAAACCGGGACAGCUUCACUAAAUCAGGGAAGUCCAUGGAAUAUAGGGACACUUGGAGGGUCUGCAUGUGAUGUGUUUGAAGGAAAUGAACCAUGUGUCCAGGUUUGGACAACGUGAUAAACCAGACUCUGCAGGGUGCAGUGGUGCUAAGCUUUGCUUCAGGCAGAAAAAUCUCUUGGGCCUAUGACUGAAUUAUACUGAAAAGCAAAGAAAACAUGCCUGCUGGAAGCCAGGAAGGGAAGAACCUGAGAAGUCUCUGGUUGAAAAGAACCUUGUACAAAGCUCUAAUGGUCAAACAGUUGAUUGUAUUUACAUAUAUAUAUGUGUGUGUGUAUAAAUUAAAAGCACACUUUUUAUUUUUUAAAAGGAACAUUUGAUGGAGCAAGUAAGCUAACAGAUGAACUUCACAGGUUCUUGUUAACACCUCCAUAUAUGUGGGUGUGUGAGAGAGUGGUAUACCCUUCUUCAUCAUAAGAUCUCAGGGCGGUUCACAGAAUCAAAGGCAAGAUAAAAACAAGUAACCCACAAAACAGCAAAACAAUAACCCCACCCCCUUCCCACAGACACAUUUAGAAGGCUGUAGAAUAUUAAUCAGCAUUAUAUAAAAAUAUAUAUAUAAUGAAGGCGCCAGGCAAACCUCCCUGCGGGAGCAUUCCAUGAACGGCAUACCUCCUCGACAAAAGCAUACCCAUAAUUAACUGAAAGCUACAGGUAGGAAGAGUAAUUAACAAAAGGUGAGGAGGAAUCAUCAGGCACAAGGUAAAGGUCAAAAUCCGCAACUCCUACUUACAGUCCCCACUACAGCACAAAGCACUCAUGGUACUCACUGUUAUGUAGUACAGGCACCUCUGUUUUUGCUGUCUAGGUUUUGUUCCGGCAUCCAUGGCACGUUUAUCAAGAUAUGAGUACUGGCCUCUCAUUUAUUUAUUUUUUGCCCUCCCCAAACACACACACACAAACAGAGGAUGUUGAAUUGCUCUUUCCAGCCUGCCCUCUCCAGUAAGGUUACCAAAAAAUUUUCAAAGAAUCCGGGGACCCUUUUUUUUUUAAAGGGGGGGGGGAGUUAUUUUUAAAAAGUUAUUUAAAAUAAUAAUAAUUAAGAAGCAAUAUCUUCUCUUCUGUGGUCUCCUCUGUCGCGCAGCCUUCCUUUGGGCCUUGGCCUGUUCUCUUGGAGUGCUAGCUGCCGUGGAGUAGGCUCAGGUCAGGCGUGGGCUUGGCCACGUGUCCUUGCCCUCCCAGUGCUCUCCUACCUCUCCUCCUCAGUGGCAGCGGCAGUGGUGUGACAAGGUCGGGGCUCCCCUCUUUUUUCUCCUUCCUUUUUCUCUCUCUUCCUUCUCCUUCUCCUCUCCUCCUUCUCCCUGCUUCAGCUCCUGGGUUUUCCUGGCCCCAGAGCGCCACUGGGCAGUCGGCCGGGUGCUCUCAUUCCCAGCUCGAUUUGGGUCACAGGGAGUGCCAGCGGUUCCCCAGUUGAUGCACUGGGUGUCCCUGGUUCCUCCUUGGCAGUGGCAGCAGCAGUCUCAGCAGCUUGGAGCCAGCCUGGUAGCGCAACUGGCUCUGGCUGGCUUCAGGAGCUGCUCGCUGCCGUGGUGCCCGCCAUUUUGCCUUGCCGGAAGUCCCCAUAUGAUGUGUCUUGUGCCGUUGAACCAAUCACACAACAUGCAUUCCCUACUAAUAAAUCUACAACACUUAAAAUAUUAAUCCGGGGACAUUAAAUGAAAUCCGGGGAUGGAUUUUGUCCGGGGACAGAUUUGUAAAUCCGGGAUGGGGACAUCUGGUAACCAUACUCUACAGGGAAGGAAACAUUUUGUGAAGAGGACCAGGAACUAAUCCAAACAUCCCAGACACAUCCUGAUUCUAGACCAGGACGGUUGCCAUAUUUGGCAUUAGGGAACUGGAAUUUCCAGAAGGGCUUCUCCUUUGUGUGCCGUCUUGCGGUGUCAUCCAAGGUCAUUUUAUACCACAGGUAUAAUAAGGAAGAUAAUGAGCUGUGGUCACAUGUAAUGAUGCUGGGAUCCAGGUAAUAGAAGAAGCAUUCUUAUUGCUCCUUCCUCUUCGUUGGCUGACUGUAGAUCAUUUGCACAUCAAAUGCAGAUAACGUUUCCAAGUUUGGCAUAGCCGCGGCUCUUUUGGGUAAUGAAGAUUAGGUUACAGUGCCCCCUAUAUCAAAAGGGCCAAACCUAGCUAGAAAUUCCUAAAGAGAGACUAGGUUCAAGGAAAUGUCUCAUUUUAGUUAAAAUGUGGUCUGCUUCAUCUGGGAGGCUUUGUUAAGCUUCUGUCUGAGAUAGAUCAUCUCUCAGUCCAGACAAGGGCUUCGUUUUUACAACAAAUAUUGAGAAAAUGUGGGGGAAGAGAAACUCACAAGCUCAACUGGUUGUCAAAGACCUCUUUAAAUAGUUUUACAGAUGAGUAAGUUGCAGAUCCAGACAGCAGACUUUUAAAUCAUCAUAAAGUUGACACAAACUGAUCCUACUCAUAAUUGAGUAUGGUUUUUGUUUUUUUGUUCUGUUUAUUACUUUAAGGCUCCUGACAAUUACAAAUAGUUUGCAUUUAGUCUCAAUUGUGUUCUGAGCUGAUUGCAUUGUCACAAUCCAUUUAUCUCAACCUCGUAGCAGGGUCUUACAUUUUUUUAACCCCCAUUCUGUUCCUGAAAAUUUCUAGCAGACUAGCCUGCUAGACAGCCUACAAAAAGGGCUACUUAACAUUCUCUUGUUGUUUGGGAUGUGGUAGCUUUUGAACCAACGUAGUUAAGAGUAGUAACCCCAGCAGUAGCAUACAGAUAGGGAGAUCUUAACAAAUUUUCUCUACCUUGCAGGAAAUGUCUUAAAGGACCCAUUUCUAUCCAAGUUAUUUUGAAGUGUGCCAAUACUGUGCAAUAUGAAAAUAGCUUUUUUUAAAGUAUUCAUCUACAAUGGGAUUAUUAUUUUUUUAAAUAAAUGAACAAGAAAACACCCACCGUUGUUCAUUUUCUGUUGUGUACAGACUUAAACUCAAGAUAAUUUUGUUCAAAGAUCCAAACAGCUACUACAACGAAACAAUCUGGUUUGCCAGAAAACUGUAGAUCACAUUGUUUCUCUAGCGAGAACAAAAUGUUCAUGUGUCCUGGUAACUGUAUGUACUUUUACGACCCUUAAUCAAAAUAAUUAGGAUCAAUGUGAUACGUGGAACUGUUAGGCUUUUCAGAAGACAUAUUCUGCAAUCUUUCUAAGGUCUAUUCAAAAGCAGUUCUCAGACCUCACACAGUUGAUCAUAACUGGGAUUUCAUUGAGGAUUUAAACAAGUAACUUCAAGUAAACUACUGAUUGCAAAGGAUGCCUUGGGAAUGUAACCCAGUUUGCUGCUUUGUCCCGCUGCAUGAAAACAAAUUGUCAGAUGUAAGUUCAGACAAUUUACUCUGGUGACUGUUAGGAUACUAAUUUAUUAGCUUAAGAAAGGCAGGAGUUCAUGGCAAGUGGCUUGGGAGUUACAUGCAAACAUUAGGAUACUUAUAUGGCCCACGUAAGACUCCCCAAUUUUGUUUUAUUUUUAAAUCAUGUUCCUAGCACUUCUCAUGUAAUUUCACAACCACUUCUUUGGGGAUUCACUUUUGAAUAAGCGUUAUAGCAUCAUGCUGCCUGUUUGCCGAUGGGGUAGAGGAAUCAGAAAAAGAAGGCAUGUUAAAACCAAAGUCCAAACUAAAUAUUAAUAAGGAUUGAUAAUGAUUGUGUAAACAUAUUUCACAGGCUACAUCAAAUUCUUAAUUGAUGGAAACAAUUUCAAAAUGUGCUCCGAAAGGAUCUCUUCUAUUGUUGGAGAAGCAUAUUAUUGCCAAUCUACAUGUGUUAAAAAUAUGUUAAUUACAUGCAACUGUGUAUAUGAAAUAGGUGGCAUUUGUAGAUCAACAUGAUGGCUGAAUAUGGGCUUAGUAGUAAAUAAAUUCAAAGAGUUUGCAAAAAGCGUCCACCCCGAAGGAACACAACACAGUCUAUCAAUACUUUCUGUGUCACUUUGGGGGAAAAAAACCCGCCCACCUCUCCCUAAUUUUAGGGCAUUUUGCGCUUGACCUUGCUAUGCCAUCGUGUGUCGUCUGUCGUUGGGACAGGGGCACAGCAGGAAUUUUCCCCACUUGGCUGAUUGACUGUUGCCAUUGGGUUUCAUCACAACUUGUAAGGUUGUGGAUAGGCACUGGUUCAUGUGAUAGGGAUGGGAGAACGGUUUCGCCAUCUCUGUGUGAAGGGUAUUCCGUUAAAGAAAUCCAGGGACUCAACUUGGUUUGGUCAACCCCUGAAAGGGGGUUGUGCCCGUGCCUGAGUCCAGGGGGGCAUCUGGGGAGUGAACAGAGUCUGUUCCCAGGUUUUUCAUCUGCCUCAGGUGUUCACCCCUGGCUGACCUAUGAUAGAGCUCUGGGUCAGCGCUACCUGCAAGGGUGUACAGAGCUAGUUGAAUCAGAGCCUAUGUAACCACUCAUUUUUCUGUAAUCAAAAAAGUUGCGGCCUAAAUUCUGCCAAAAACCAAAACUAUAAUUUGAGUCAAAUGUGUCUUUAUUUAAGGGGGAGGUCAGUGUGGUGUAGUGGUUAAGAGCAGUGGACUUGUAAUCUGGUGAACCGGGUUCGCUUCCCCGCUCCUCCACAUGCAGCUGCUGGGUGACCUUGGGCUAGUCACACUUCUUUGAAGUCUCUCAGCCCCACUCACACCUCACAGAGUGUCUGUUGUGGGGGAGGAAGGGAAAGGAGAUUGUUAGCCGCUUUGAGAGUCCUUCGGGUAGUGAUAAAGUGGGAUAUCAAAUCCAAACUCCUCCUCCUCCUCCUCCUCCUCCUCCGCCGCUGCUGCUGCUGCUGCUGCUGCUGCUGCUGCUGCUGCUUCUUCUUCUUCUUCUUCUUCUUCUUCUUCUUCUUCUUCUUCUUCUCCUCUUCUUCUUCUUCUUCUCUGGGUGUGAACACGCAACAUAUAUUCUUACUGUUUGCAUCUGAUGCACGGAGUGUUCUGUCAAAUAAUUGUUCUCCUAUUUGAUCUAGAGAUUGCUGUAGAAUGCAGGGCAGAAGGCUGCUUUCAACAUUAGCAGGCACCAAAGCUUUAAGAAUUAUAAAGCAAAAUCUGAAAAACUUAAGAAACAAUGAUUUGUGUGCAUGUAAAAUUUGCUGGUGGAGAUAUACGUGCAGAGAGAUUCCAUUUUAAAUGUCAUAGAUAUUUCCUUACUGGGAUAUAACACUCUUCCACUCCUCUUAAUUUUUUUAAUUAAGUAUAAAUGUUAGAAGAGGAGCAACCUACUCAGUAGACAAUGCUCUAGUACGUCACCAGCAUUGUCAUAAUGAUGCAUUAAUGUAAUGGAUCAUCAGAGACUUGUCAGAGAGAUUUAUUACCCCCCAAAUACUUCAAGGAGGUAGGAAAGUAUCAAGAAUGGAGUUGACUGACUGUUUAUUUUGCUAAACUAAGGACUUUUAAAGUAAGCUUAAAAACCCUUUUUUCACUUCAGGAAAUAGCUGAAAGGAAAGGACCCCAGACCAAAAAAAGAAAAGAAAAGGGGUUUAAGUCAACAACAUGAUGAGGACUCAGGAGGCAUCAUAAAUGCCUCGAAAGAUAUCCUACUUGAUGCAACAGAGUUUACAUAAGGUCUCUGAAGCACAGAGUUUUAUACAAAACACAUUCAAUGUUUCCAAUGAAUAUUUUAAAAGUUAAAUUUAACAAAUGUUAACUGGGUUUCUCUGUGUAUUUAUUUCUAAAAAUGAACUGGUUAUACUUAGUUACGAAAAGCAAUACAGAGAUAAGUGGAAGAGAUACCGCUGGCCAUUGUAAAUAAUCUUUCACAGCCUUAUGUAUACUUGCAUUCAGCAUCUCAGAAUACUCCCUUGCUGGAUAAAGUUUGUUUAUACGUUAUACAUCUGCUUUGUAGUACGUUUGGUUUGGUACAGAUCCGGUCUUGUGCCAGUAUUUAGCCUUUGAUAGAGUCAACCAUCUGCUCUGGGCUGCAUUACCAAGCAACUCAACUCCGAGAAGACCUGGUCCCAGCAUGUCAGAAGCUUCUGCCAGCCUCACAGCAUCCAUGAGCACCUCUUAACUGUUUUGCACCCUCUUGAGCUCUCUCUUCAAAGUUCUUUUCAACUUUCCCUUACGGCUUUUGGUUUGGUACAGUUCAUAAGAUGUACAUCAGAGCGUCCACACACCUUCAAAAAGUCACACAUUUCUAACCAUUAACAACCCCAGGGAUUUGCAACUGAUAAGAGCCCGCACAUGUUGGACUCUACAAAAAAAUGUAAUGUCAAAACGAAAAAGAAAAGAAAGAAGUUGCUUAGUGUGUAUCAUUGAAGUAGGAAAGUGUGUACGGAUAGGGCGGAAGAGAACAGGAUGAGGGACACAGAUUGCAGCACACUGUGUACACACCUAACUUAAGCAGGCAAAUAAAUAAAUUGGACUGUGCAUAGCAGGGACCCGGAUCCUUGUACAUAUGUGAGCAUUCUCACAUGACAGACAACACAGGCCUUAAAGCAAAGAUCCCCUGAGAGAGUUGGAGGAAAGAGAAAGAGGGACACCCCACUGCAAACUGCCUUUGGUAUGAGCCAAGAAAUUGGUCUAAAUCACAGAGCCUAGGGCUUGCUGAUCAGAAGGUCGGCGGUUCGAAUCCCCGCGACAGGGUGAGCUCCCGUUGCUCGGUCCCUGCUCCUGCCAACCUAGCAGUUCGAAAGCACGUCAAGUGCAAGUAGAUAACUACUCCCGCUCCAGCGGGAAGGUAAAUGGCAUUUCCGUGCACUGCUCUGGUUCACCAGAAGCGGCUUAGUCAUGUUGGCCACAUGACCUCGAAAAACUGUCUGCGGACAAACGCCGGCUCCCUCGGCCUGUAAAGCGAGAUGACCGCCACAACCUCAGAGUCGGUCACGACUGGACCCAACAGCCAGAGGUCCCUUUACCUUUUCCUAGCCAGGAAGGUAGGGCUCCACUUUGUUCUCAGUCCAAAUAACAAAGAAGUGCUUCUGGCGGGGUUUUCUUCUAAAUCUGAGCAACCCUUUUAGCCUUUUGCUUUUUAAGGGGUAGGGGAAAAAAUCCGAAUGACUGAUUCUCACACUGAAACUCCUUUUACUUUGCUGAAGAAGCAGCCCCAGUGCAGAGAAGAAGAAGGAAAAAAUGCCACAUCAAUCCCAACCGUUCAACAUUAAACAGUUCAGUGUUAACAUGAAACAUAGCCAGUGAGCAGUCGAAAUGGAGAUGGGGGCAAGCGACAGAUGAGAGCUGAAAGUAAAUAUGGGCCCAGGGCAUGGUCCAAAGGCACAGCAGGCACCAACUCUGCUAAAGCUAAGCAGGUCUGUGUCUGGUUACUGCCUGCAUGGAAGACUGCCUGGGGACCCUAUGUAGACAUGUGUGAUUUCCCCCAGGAAGGCAGGAUAUAAAUUUUGCGUUAAAUAGUAUGCUAGACACAGUUGCCCAUGGUGUGUACAUUCAUCCCAAUAUCAAAUGUGGAGUGUUCAGGCGCGUGAGUGAGGUGAACACAUUGUGCAGCGUAUAUAGCUGCCACAGAAUUUUGGCCACCCCUGCUGCCACCCUGGUCAUGCUGCUCCCCAUCCCAAAAUUUGAGGCAGCAGCAGAAAGGGAUGCUCCCUCCCUUUAGAAAGAAUUAAUGGAUGGGGUCAAGCAGCUGAGUGCAAGGCCCAUUGAAGCAUCACUCAAAGUUCCAGGCACACAACGAAGAUGGCAGGCACAGCUGGGACCUCAGCCAGCACUUCAAUGAACAUUGUGCCUGGUCUCAUGAUCCUGGCUCUAGAUAUUUUUUAAAUAUUUGGGGGGAAGGGGCGUUGCACCCCAUGCCAAGAGGUGAGACGGCGGCCAUUUUCUGCUGUGUUCCCAACCUUGGUUUGUCAUAAAAAUGCUUAGUCAAGCAUUUUGAACGGAACAAAUUCAUACACCAAAGCAAAUAAUCACAUAUUUUGGCCCUUUGAGGGUAUCUGAUGUGCUACUUUCUCCAGCAGACCCAAGUUGGACUAAUUUCAUAGCAAUUUCAUAUUUGAUAACGAUGAUCAGAACCACAUUUGCCUAAAGAGGAAUGGUCCCACCGUUCACAGUUCCUUAUUUUCAUUCUCAAUCAACCAUGAAAAUUUCAAUAGGGUGUAAGAGCUGACAGUUUUUGAGUUCCAUUUUAUGUCCAGUAUUUCUAUGCUGAAGGUUUGAGAUCUAGGUAGUUUUCCUACAUAUUUAACAAGCACCAGCUGGUUUUAAAGCCCAGGUCAGUGGACCGGCCCAUUGUUCAAGUUUUCAAAGGGAUAUCAAUUAAGUUGACAACAUUUUACAAUGGCCAGGGAUCUAAAGAACUAUUUUAGGUGUGCCCAAGGGCAUUUUAAAAACCUUUUCUCACAGCAAGCUCCUAUGCCAUAUCACAGAGUGUUUUCAAAAACCAGGAAAAAACCCCAGGAUCAAUAACAGCUGCAUUACAAAGACAAACAGAAUAAAAAAAAAACCAGCUGCACAGGUGGAUUUGGUUGCCAAUGUCCUAUGAGGAAACUAUCAAGUGAAAACUUUUAAUGCUCAAUAAUAAUAAAAAUUAUAAAAAUAUUGGGAAACAUUUUCUGCAGGAGCACAUCAAAACAGAAGAGGUCAUUUUGAAAGCCCACUCAGUUUCAAAAGAGGUGUGCUAUGUGGUAUAGAAAGCUGCUUUUAAAAAAAGGAACAUAAGCUUAAAGCCCCAUUUGACGUGCAAAACUAAUUGUUCAGCCAUUUGAAUCUUGGUUCAUAGUAGUAGUAGUAAUGUCCAUUGAACCAUUUCUACUAAGAAGGAACCCCCAUUGAAUUUAAUGGGGCUUACUACCACAAAUGUGGGGUUAGGGUUGCUGUGUUAGUUUUGUUUCAAAAUUCUUAGACGUGUGCUGCAGGGGUCAAAGUACUGUUACCAAUCUUGAUGCAAUAUUUUCUGGAAAGCUUUCCUAAAGCAAAGCAAAUACAUUCAGAACCAGGAUCACUGAGAUUUUUGCACUUAGUAAAGGGCUUGUCUGGUUAAGUAAGUUAUGUGAAACCCAAAACAGCCCUGUUUUUCAAGGUAUACUUCAUUGUUCCAGCUUAUUUGUUCGCCGCCACCUGUCUCCCACACAUUACGGCACCGAGUGCGCGUUUCAAAACAAAAGUAAUAACACAAUUGUCUCACACCACACAUAUUCCCAGUGGAAAUUAAAAUGCAUGCUUUUUCUCAUCAUUCUUUAUUUAACAACUGGGAGGGUUUUAAUAUUCGAAACUCAGCAAGAAAAUUGUCAGGAAACACAGAGAUGCCUUUUGAGAUUUCAAAUUCCACUUUCAUUGUUUUCCUUUCAUUUUAGGUGAGUGUUUGUUUUCCAGCCAAGUGACUGUAUCCUGUGAUGGAAUGAUGGCUAAUGGGAUUUUCUGCGAUGAUUUCUCAGUCAAUUAUAGCACUAGAAGACCUAUGCAGAUGGAUAUGAAAUCAUCCCCAAUGAAAUCAUCCCUGUUUCUAAUUGCAGGAAGAACAAAAACAACAAAAAAAACCCAAAACCAUCUAGCCAGGGGUCCUACACAUGUGAAAGAAGGCUUGAGGAAGAUGAACUGGAAACCUACACAUGCAACCGGUGUAGUAUAUAUGGAACCCCCCUCUCCUCAAAUCCAGCUUCUAGGACCAGCUUCUAGGCCUUUUAGAAAAUCAACAACAAGGCCAGUUACCUUUUAAGGAAGGAGAACAGAGAGGAACUGAAUUUGGCUUUUCUUCCUAUUCCUCUUUUCUCUACGAACUGUUGAGCAACACAGUUCACACAUGCACAGAUAGAUCAGGGCCUACAUCUUUUGCCAGGCUUAUUGUUACGGAGCACAUUUCAGAUCUAUUUCUCUAUCAUAUAAGGGUGCUUCAAGUGCUUCAUUUCUCCCCUUGCACAUAUAAGGAAGCAGCUAUAUCCAGAGAUGUUUUGUAUAACAUUGCUAAUAUGAGGCCCAUAAAUGUGAAGAACCGAAGACAGGAAAAAUGAGAAACAGAGAUGAAACUGGAACUGGGAUAUUUCUCCAUCACUAGCAUAGUUCCCCUCUGAAUUAAGACUUGUGUGCACAUACUGUAGGCUUCCCAAACAUUUGUGAGUGUAAUAUAACAUUACAGAUAAACUCGCUCUGUGGUGAUAAAUUCACUCUACUGUAAUUAAAAACAACACUUUUACCCAGAAUAAACACCAACAUUCUUUGUUACAAAAUUGUUGCUGCGCCAUACACCGCUCUGUUUUAAUUUAGAGAGCAUUCGCUGCUGAUUCUUUUAAAAAAAGCAAUAACUUUUCAACUUUUUUUUAUAAAAAUAACCUGCUGAAAUUUCAGAAUGAAAGAAAAUUCAGUCUGUGAUUUCAGGAUGUUUUGUGCAACAGCAGGGGUGAUGGGAAUGAAGCAAGACCAUGUUUUAAAAGUGCACUGUUUGUGCGGUACAUUAAAAUGUGUACUGCAUUUGCUAAAAUGACACAUGGGGGGGGGCGAAGCAACUGUGGAGUUAGUUCAUGCAGUUCUGAGAUAUAAGUCAUCGAGAAUUCAGGCCAUAUCUUCCAGAGUGAAUCAUCUCUUGUCUGCAUGGAAGAUGGCAUGCAUAACCUGUUUACUGAAAGCUUUAUCACCGAGGAAAUACAAUUCUAAGCAUCAUCAUGUUGAGCACCUUUAACAUUUGCAAUUCCCUUGAAAAAAAAACCACAGUAAGUAAGUCCAUAGAUGUAAAUAGAAAUAAGAGAGUUGUAUUGCCUUCCUUAUGCGAAUAUUAUGGCACACAUGUCAACAGUUGUGUGUGGGAAGCCAGUUUAAAAAUGAGCUAUUGAUGAUUCAGAGUCAAAUUUAUUAAUAAAAGCGCAGCACAAGGGCAAUUUAUGACACACACACACACACACACACACACCCUGCUGGAAGGUUAAGUCCCGAAGAUGCUCCCCUGGUCUUUUACUUCUUGCACAAUGCCCUAUGGGUUUUUCUGAAAGCGUAGGAUGCUAACACAAAAGGGGUGGGCCCUAUUUCUGUUGUCGGGUGGUGCUGUGGUCUAAAGCACAGAGCCUAGGGCUUGCCGAUCAGAAGGUCAGCGGUUCGAAUCCCCGCGACGGGGUGAGCUCCCGUUGUUCGGUCCCUGAUCCUGCCAACCUAGCAGUUUGAAAGCACGUCAAAGUGCAAGUAGAUAAAUAGGUACUGCUCUGGCGGGAAGGUAAACGGCGUUUCCGUGCGCUGCUCUGGUUUGCCAGAAGCGGCUUAGUCAUGCUGGCCACAUGACCCGGAAGCUGUCUGCAGACAAAACCAGCUCCCUUGGCCAAUAAAGCGAGAUACGCACGCAACCCCAGAGUCGUCCGUGACUAGACCUAGAUCAGAAGUACCUUUAUCUUUAUGGGAAUAAUGCACUUGAAGCAUUUAUCAGGCACAGGAUUCAGCUGCAGCAGCUAAAGUCUGUCCACAGGAUCAGGCUGUAUAUCAGAUGCAGCUUAUCAAAUGCACAUUGUUUUUUACUAGAACCCCAAGAACUACCAACUAGAAAGUGGAUACAGAGUUUUCCUCUCCCUGUCUCAGUCACAUUGAAUUCAAUGGCACUUACUUUCAAGUACCGUAUUUUUUGCUCUAUAACACGCACCCGACCAUAACACGCACGUAGUUUUUAGAGGAGGAAAAUCCGUAGGCAUGCCACCCAUAGGCAUUCCCUCCAUAACACGCACAGACAUUUCCCCUUACUUUCUAGGAGGAAAAAAGUGAGUGUUAUGGUGCAAAAAAUACGGUAAGUGUUAUAGGUCUGCAACCUAUUUUUUUCCCCUUUGAGCAUAUGAUGGAAAAUGUUGGCUUUUGAGUCUUCUAACACCACUAUCACUGUCAAACCACCCCUUUCCUCCUAGGCCUUUCUCAUAAAAAAUCUGAUGUUCUAUUUCAUUAUAUAUUCCUGUUACUAAAAUGUCAUUAACCAAGUGGUGUAUUAACUGAUGAUGUUAAGCUGGUUAGUGGGAGAAUGUAAGUGUCACUUUGAUGACAUAAAGUGGCUGUUAUGAUUAUAUAAUAUCAAUUAUUCCUUCAGAAAUUGCAUUAGUUCUGAACCAGUGUAGUUGGAGGGAGGUUAAUCCCCCCACAAGGCGUUUGUCUAAUAUUUAUUAUUAACAGUAAAAUCUAUUUUGGAUUAAACCUAGAUUUUUAAUAACUUUAAUAACUUUUAAUAACUUUUCACCCUUGGAAACACUAUACCUGCCUCUCAGUUCCUCUGGUUGCUGUCACAUCAGAGGAGAGUGUCUUCCUCACUUUACUGCUUCUACAGAAUCGAGGUUUAUGGGCUGCAUAUUUGAAGAAACAAUAAACACAUUUUAAAGAGCAAAUCAAAUUUAGAAGUACUAGACACUCCACGAAAGCCUUGUACAUAGUUUUUACAAUUUCUUUUAUCUGAAGCGCUUAAACUUUGUGAAAUACUCAACCUGUUUCAAAAUGUUUUCCCCCACCGCCUUACUGAGACACAGGGACCGAGAGGAUGUGAAAGGGUGCGGAGUCAGGUCGUGUGAGGAGAUUUUAUUAGCUAUACACAGGGUGACACAGAAACUCCAGAAAAUGGGGCAAAUCAAAUAAAUAAAUAAAGAGUAAAAAAUUCUUCCGAAAGCAAAGUGGAAACGCAAGUUUUGAUUCUGUUUUAUAAACAAAUAUGUGAUCAUUAAAAAAUAAACUUGGGAUGGAGGUAUUGCCAAUCUCGGUCCUCUCAGCUCCUCUUUCAUCCAACCUUAAAUUCCAUAUUUCUGCAGCGAUUUAUACUUAAAAAACAACAACUGAAUCCUCUUGAAAAUUCAGCAUUUAGUGCAACAUUCAAAGGAUAGCGUGUUUGCUUCACUUUUUGUUUCAGAAAGUGUGAAUUUUACAGAUUCACCUUUAAAUAUGAACUGAAUCAAACCCCCCCCAUCCCUACUGAAAAACAAAUAAACAGGACAGUCCUAGAGUUGUAUACUUACAGACAAGCCCCUCAGACUUCAGUGGGACUUACGUCCAGGUAAAAGUGCAUAGAAUUAAAGCCAAAAUCUCUCAAAGAGUUCUUUUCAAAUGUAAGCCUAUUUAAAACAUGGGUGGGCAAACUAAGGCCCGGGGGCCGGAUCCGCCCCAAUCGCCUUCUAAAUCCGGCCUGCGGACGGUCCGGGAAUCAGCGUGUUUUUACAUGAGUAGAAUGUGUGAUUUUAUUUAAAAUGCAUCUCUGGGUCAUUUGUGGGGCAUAGGAAUUUGUUCACCCCCCCAAAAAAAGUAUAGUCUGUCUGCCCCCCCAAGAUCUGAGGGACAGUGGACCAGCCCCCUGCUGAGAAAGUUUGCUGACCCGAUUUAAAAUAAUCCACACAAUCAUACAAUUUUCAAAGCUAUGUUGUAAUCAAUAAGGUCUCUUUCACAAGGAAAGGUUUUAAUGAGUAUUGUUACAGACCCACUCCUAAACCAGCCAUGUUGUGAUGGCAUCCACAGCACUGUUAUCAAGAUAUGUACACCAGUACCUCAUUUAAAAACAAGAAACCAACCCCUCCCAAAAAAAACCCCAGAAAAAGGAUUGCCUUAAACUAUGACAUUUUGUGAUCCUUGUGUACAUCAAGGAACCAUCUGUCAUGGAGCUCAGCCCAGUUCCACCAUGUUUUCAUGAUGAAUGCAAACAUUUAAAAAUACACAUGCAUUUCAAACCUCACCAUUUUAAUCAGCACACAGCACAGGUCUACGGGAGAGGCUUGUGAAAAAUCGUACCGGGACAAGUGACCCCACCAUAUAUGUUCACGUCAGAUCACAACAAUAUUCCCAAAGAAUUCCAUAUUGGCAUCAACUUAAUGAAUUACUAGUUUAUAAUAAUAAAUCUUUCUGGAAUUAAUUACAAUGGGAAGGAAUUGCAAUAAAUAAUU